This 1369-nucleotide ribosomal RNA is filed under the name uncultured bacterium. Its description in RNAcentral is "bacterial SSU rRNA". It matches the Rfam family "Bacterial small subunit ribosomal RNA", at positions 28 to 1381 of the family's 1533-position model. The record is from RNAcentral.
GACGAACGCUGGCGGCGUGCCUAAUACAUGCAAGUAGAACGCUGAAGAGAGGAGCUUGCUCUUCUUGGAUGAGUUGCGAACGGGUGAGUAACGCGUAGGUAACCUGCCUUGUAGCGGGGGAUAACUAUUGGAAACGAUAGCUAAUACCGCAUAACAAUGGAUGACACAUGUCAUUUAUUUGAAAGGGGCAAUUGCUCCACUACAAGAUGGACCUGCGUUGUAUUAGCUAGUAGGUGAGGUAAUGGCUCACCUAGGCGACGAUACAUAGCCGACCUGAGAGGGUGAUCGGCCACACUGGGACUGAGACACGGCCCAGACUCCUACGGGAGGCAGCAGUAGGGAAUCUUCGGCAAUGGGGGCAACCCUGACCGAGCAACGCCGCGUGAGUGAAGAAGGUUUUCGGAUCGUAAAGCUCUGUUGUAAGUCAAGAACGGGUGUGAGAGUGGAAAGUUCACACUGUGACGGUAGCUUACCAGAAAGGGACGGCUAACUACGUGCCAGCAGCCGCGGUAAUACGUAGGUCCCGAGCGUUGUCCGGAUUUAUUGGGCGUAAAGCGAGCGCAGGCGGUUUGAUAAGUCUGAGGUUAAAGGCUGUGGCUCAACCAUAGUUCGCUUUGGAAACUGUCAAACUUGAGUGCAGAAGGGGAGAGUGGAAUUCCAUGUGUAGCGGUGAAAUGCGUAGAUAUAUGGAGGAACACCGGUGGCGAAAGCGGCUCUCUGGUCUGUAACUGACGCUGAGGCUCGAAAGCGUGGGGAGCGAACAGGAUUAGAUACCCUGGUAGUCCACGCCGUAAACGAUGAGUGCUAGGUGUUGGAUCCUUUCCGGGAUUCAGUGCCGCAGCUAACGCAUUAAGCACUCCGCCUGGGGAGUACGACCGCAAGGUUGAAACUCAAAGGAAUUGACGGGGGCCCGCACAAGCGGUGGAGCAUGUGGUUUAAUUCGAAGCAACGCGAAGAACCUUACCAGGUCUUGACAUCCCGAUGCUAUUUCUAGAGAUAGAAAGUUACUUCGGUACAUCGGUGACAGGUGGUGCAUGGUUGUCGUCAGCUCGUGUCGUGAGAUGUUGGGUUAAGUCCCGCAACGAGCGCAACCCCUAUUGUUAGUUGCCAUCAUUCAGUUGGGCACUCUAGCGAGACUGCCGGUAAUAAACCGGAGGAAGGUGGGGAUGACGUCAAAUCAUCAUGCCCCUUAUGACCUGGGCUACACACGUGCUACAAUGGUUGGUACAACGAGUUGCGAGUCGGUGACGGCGAGCUAAUCUCUUAAAGCCAAUCUCAGUUCGGAUUGUAGGCUGCAACUCGCCUACAUGAAGUCGGAAUCGCUAGUAAUCGCGGAUCAGCACGCCGCGGUGAAUACGUUCCCGGGCCU